GGGCCAUUAGCUCAGCUGGCUAGAGCACUUGCAUGGCAUGCAAGGGGUCAGCGGUUCAAAUCCGCUAUGGUCCA
RNAcentral lists this transfer RNA (74 nucleotides) under Candidatus Magasanikiibacteriota bacterium. RNAcentral describes it as "Candidatus Magasanikbacteria bacterium tRNA-Ala". It matches the Rfam family "tRNA". From Rfam's summary of the family: Transfer RNA (tRNA) molecules are approximately 80 nucleotides in length. Their secondary structure includes four short double-helical elements and three loops (D, anti-codon, and T loops). The record is from RNAcentral. Lineage: Bacteria; Candidatus Magasanikiibacteriota.